Molecule: ribosomal RNA, 1417 nt
Filed under: Pantoea sp. WMus005
Lineage: Bacteria; Pseudomonadati; Pseudomonadota; Gammaproteobacteria; Enterobacterales; Erwiniaceae
Description: partial 23S ribosomal RNA
Rfam family: Bacterial large subunit ribosomal RNA
Source: RNAcentral
AACGCUGAGGCGUGACGACGAGGCACUACGGUGCUGAAGUGAUAAAUGCCCAGCUUCCAGGAAAAGCCUCUAAGCAUCAGGUAACACAGAAUCGUACCCCAAACCGACACAGGUGGUCAGGUAGAGAAUACCAAGGCGCUUGAGAGAACUCGGGUGAAGGAACUAGGCAAAAUGGUGCCGUAACUUCGGGAGAAGGCACGCUGGCGCGUAGGUGGAGGGACCUGCUCCCCGAGCCGAAGCCAGUCGAAGAUACCAGCUGGCUGCAACUGUUUAUUAAAAACACAGCACUGUGCAAACACGAAAGUGGACGUAUACGGUGUGACGCCUGCCCGGUGCCGGAAGGUUAAUUGAUGGGGUUAUCCGCAAGGAGAAGCUCUUGAUCGAAGCCCCGGUAAACGGCGGCCGUAACUAUAACGGUCCUAAGGUAGCGAAAUUCCUUGUCGGGUAAGUUCCGACCUGCACGAAUGGCGUAAUGAUGGCCAGGCUGUCUCCACCCGAGACUCAGUGAAAUUGAACUCGCUGUGAAGAUGCAGUGUACCCGCGGCAAGACGGAAAGACCCCGUGAACCUUUACUACAGCUUGACACUGAACAUUGAGCCUUGAUGUGUAGGAUAGGUGGGAGGCUUUGAAGCGCGGACGCCAGUUCGCGUGGAGCCAACCUUGAAAUACCACCCUUUAAUGUUUGAUGUUCUAACGUAGGCCCGUGAUCCGGGCUGCGGACAGUGUCUGGUGGGUAGUUUGACUGGGGCGGUCUCCUCCUAAAGAGUAACGGAGGAGCACGAAGGUCAGCUAAUCACGGUCGGACAUCGUGAGGUUAGUGCAAUGGCAUAAGCUGGCUUGACUGCGAGAGUGACGGCUCGAGCAGGUGCGAAAGCAGGUCAUAGUGAUCCGGUGGUUCUGAAUGGAAGGGCCAUCGCUCAACGGAUAAAAGGUACUCCGGGGAUAACAGGCUGAUACCGCCCAAGAGUUCAUAUCGACGGCGGUGUUUGGCACCUCGAUGUCGGCUCAUCACAUCCUGGGGCUGAAGUAGGUCCCAAGGGUACGGCUGUUCGCCGUUUAAAGUGGUACGCGAGCUGGGUUUAGAACGUCGUGAGACAGUUCGGUCCCUAUCUGCCGUGGGCGCUGGAGAAUUGAGGGGGGUUGCUCCUAGUACGAGAGGACCGGAGUGAACGCACCACUGGUGUUCGGGUUGUCAUGCCAAUGGCAUUGCCCGGUAGCUAAGUGCGGAAAAGAUAAGUGCUGAAAGCAUCUAAGCACGAAACUUGCCCCGAGAUGAGUUCUCCCUGACUCCCAGAGAGUCCUGAAGGGACGUUGAAGACUACGACGUUGAUAGGCCGGGUGUGUAAGCGCAGCGAUGCGUUGAGCUAACCGGUACUAAUGACCCGUGAGGCUUAACCUUACAACGCCAGAGGCGUUU